This 173-nucleotide unclassified non-coding RNA is filed under the name uncultured fungus. RNAcentral's name for it is "sequence contains ITS2". The record is from RNAcentral. Lineage: Eukaryota; Fungi.
ACUACUCACCCCGACGUUUUCUAAACGACGGGCGUGGAUUUGGGUGUCUGCCUUUGUUGGCUCACCUUAAAUGGAUUAGUGGAUGAGUCGGUCAUCUGGACGUGAUACGUUUCGUCUGUGAAGGUUGGUUGUUGUCUGCUCCUAACCCGACUUUCGAGUCAACCCCAUUUGUU